AGCAUAUCAAUAAGCGGAGGAAAAGAAACCAACAGGGAUUGCCCCAGUAACGGCGAGUGAAGCGGCAACAGCUCAAAUUUGAAAUCUGGCCCCAGGCCCGAGUUGUAAUUUGCAGAGGAUGCUUUUGGCGCGGUGCCUUCCGAGUUCCCUGGAACGGGACGCCAUAGAGGGUGAGAGCCCCGUACGGUUGGACACCAAGCCUUUGUAAAGCUCCUUCGACGAGUCGAGUAGUUUGGGAAUGCUGCUCUAAAUGGGAGGUACAUUUCUUCUAAAGCUAAAUAUUGGCCAGAGACCGAUAGCGCACAAGUAGAGUGAUCGAAAGAUGAAAAGCACUUUGAAAAGAGGGUUAAACAGCACGUGAAAUUGUUAAAAGGGAAGCGCUUGUGACCAGACUUGCGUCCGGUGAAUCACCCAGCUCUCGCGGCUGGGGCACUUCGCCGGCACAGGCCAGCAUCAGCUUGCCGUCGGGGACAAAAGCUUCAGGAACGUGGCUCCUCUCGGGGAGUGUUAUAGCCUGUUGCACAAUACCCUUCGGCGGGCUGAGGUACGCGCUCCGCAAGGAUGCUGGCGUAAUGGUCAUCAGCGACCCGUCUUGAAACACGGACCAAGGAGUCAACCUUAUGUGCGAGUGUUUGGGUGUUAAACCCCUACGCGUAAUGAAAGUGAACGCAGGUGAGAGCUUCGGCGCAUCAUCGACCGAUCCUGAUGUUCUCGGAUGGAUUUGAGUAAGAGCAUAUAGGGUUGGACCCGAAAGAAGGUGAACUAUGCGUGUGUAGGGUGAAGCCAGAGGAAACUCUGGUGGGAGGCUCGCAGCGGUUCUGACGUGCAAAUCGAUCGUCAAACAUGCGCAUGGGGGCGAAAGACUAAUCGAACCUUCUAGUAGCUGGUUUCCGCCGAAGUU
This 901-nucleotide ribosomal RNA is filed under the name Colletotrichum rhombiforme. RNAcentral describes it as "LSU rRNA". It matches the Rfam family "Eukaryotic large subunit ribosomal RNA", at positions 37 to 968 of the family's 3401-position model. The record is from RNAcentral. Lineage: Eukaryota; Fungi; Ascomycota; Sordariomycetes; Glomerellales; Glomerellaceae.